This 260-nucleotide ribosomal RNA is filed under the name uncultured Planctomycetota bacterium. RNAcentral's name for it is "uncultured planctomycete partial 16S ribosomal RNA". It matches the Rfam family "Bacterial small subunit ribosomal RNA", at positions 927 to 1181 of the family's 1533-position model. The record is from RNAcentral. Lineage: Bacteria; Pseudomonadati; Planctomycetota.
AAGCGGUGGAGCAUGUGGUUCAAUUCGAAGCAACGCGCAGAACCUUACCUGGGCUUGACAUGCCAGGAUUAUCCCUAUGAAAGUAGGGUACGCCCUUCGGGGUGGAACUGGUACAGGUGCUGCAUGGCUGUCGUCAGCUCGUGUCGUGAGAUGUCGGGUUAAGUCCCUUAACGAGCGAAACCUUUGCCCUUAGUUACUAACGGGUUAUGCCGAGGACUCUAAGGGGACUGCCGGUGUCAAACCGGAGGAAGGUGGAGAUG